This 242-nucleotide unclassified non-coding RNA is filed under the name plant metagenome. RNAcentral describes it as "partial contains small subunit ribosomal RNA, internal transcribed spacer 1, and 5.8S ribosomal RNA". The stretch from base 1 to 54 matches the Rfam family "Eukaryotic small subunit ribosomal RNA", at positions 1778 to 1831 of the family's 1831-position model. The record is from RNAcentral.
GGAAGUAAAAGUCAUAACAAGGUUUCCGUAGGUGAACCUGCGGAAGGAUCAUUACAGAGUUCAUGCCCUCACGGGUAGAUCUCCCACCCUUGAAUAUUUAUACCUUAGUUGCUUUGGCAGGCCGUGGAAACACCAUGGGCUCCGGCUUAUGCGUGCCUGCCAGAGGAAACAAACUCUGUUUUUAGUGAUGUCUGAGUACUAUAUAAUAGUUAAAACUUUCAACAACGGAUCUCUUGGUUCUG